GACAGAGGGUGCAAACGUUGUUCGGAAUUACUGGGCGUAAAGCGCGUGUAGGCGGCCAAGUAUGUCGGAUGUGAAAUCCCGCGGCUCAACCGUGGAAGUGCAUUCGAAACUGCUUGGCUGGAGUUUCGGAGAGGAAGGCGGAAUGCUUGGUGUAGAGGUGAAAUUCGUAGAUAUCAAGCAGAACACCUGUGGCGAAGGCGGCCUUCUGGACGAUGACUGACGCUGAGACGCGAAAGCGUGGGGAGCAAACAGGAUUAGAUACCCUGGUAGUCCACGCCGUAAACGAUGAGUGCUAGGUGUCAGGGGCUUUGACCCUCCUGGUGCCGCAGCUAACGCAAUAAGCACUCCGCCUGGGGAGUACGGCCGCAAGGCUAAA
Molecule: ribosomal RNA, 376 nt
Filed under: uncultured bacterium
Lineage: Bacteria
Description: bacterial SSU rRNA
Rfam family: Bacterial small subunit ribosomal RNA
Source: RNAcentral